Salvia miltiorrhiza (redroot sage) is the source of this 792-nucleotide long non-coding RNA. RefSeq lists it as uncharacterized. The record is from RefSeq and is a predicted model, not a curated record. NCBI's taxonomy places the organism in Eukaryota, Viridiplantae, Streptophyta, Magnoliopsida, Lamiales, Lamiaceae. The transcript has 2 exons.
AAAAAACUGAUUGCAUAAGAAUAUUAUUAUUAUUAUUAUUAUUAUUAUUAUUAUUAUUAUUUUAAGUGUAAUUACUUGUUAUAUGAGUUGAGCAUGAAAUGAUUUGCAUUAAGCAUUUUUGCAAAUGAAAGUAUUUAUAAUUUAAAUUAUUUUUCAUUAAAUCCAAUUAUCAAAGAAAGUCGAGCAAGGAUAUUGUCGGUAACUUUAGCUCAAAAAUUUAUUUUUCAAUUAUUUAGCUCAAACAUUUAGCGGCAAAGAUAUAUGUAGGAUGCUCUGUGGAUGAAUAUCUUUCUUCAAUCAAAGAGGGUAAAACAUACUCCACAUACUAUAGAGGAUUAAACACACAAGCGUACACAGAAAUUCGCUUCAUGACGAUGCUCAAAUCUAUAAAAUUCUAUCAAUGGGGAAAUUUCAAUAUUGUAGCAAAUGCAAUCCAAAAAACCCAACCAAGCAUCGAUGUUGGAGAUAUUGAAGAAAAGCCGACUUCAUGACAAUGCUCAAGUCUAUAAAAUUCGAUCAACGGGGAAAUCUCAAUAUUGUGGCAAAUGCAAUCCAAAAAACCCAACCAAGCAUCGAUGUUGGCGAUAUUGAAGAAGAGUCGACUCAAGUGGAAGAAAAGAAUCAUUCACCCGAGAAAUCAAAAAAAAUAAUCCCAUCACAAAAGAAAAAGAAAAGGGUAACUAGGAAAAAGUUUGAUGACUACAUUGAGAUUACAAGUGACGACGAUAUGCUGUUGAACAAUAUUUUAUUGCAAAUUGAGAUUACAAGUGACGACGAUAUGCCGUUGAACAA